UAGAGAAAUCCCACAACGUGCUUGUUUCUGAAGCUCUCCUUGUUCAGGAAAUGGGUGUAGAGAGGGAUGUUGCUGAAAUCAUAACGCUGCAAUCAGAUCUGGGGACCCGGUGACGUGACAAAUUUCCUGUGCAAAUCAUCAGAAUAUUUAUAUAGAGGUGUAAAUAUACGUGGGCACGUAUAUGUACACAGAACGCCUUCAUGUCAAGCUGAAUUCCCAAGAGACCCCUGUGCAAUCAUCUGCCCUUUUAGGUCCUUACAAACGGCAGGUCCUCCAAAUACAGAGAAUGGCUUAUUAAAGUCUGUCCUCACAUUGUUUGUAAAUGAUGCUGCCGUCUGAGGGGGAAAAGGAGGAUACAUUGGAUCGAGCAAUCAAGCAACACAACAUUUUUUUUUUCUUGUGGCUUUGCCUUGACAGGGGGAUAUAUCAAGACUGCUCGUCUAUCCAUCUCUGACAAAAGCGAACCCCAUUGCAUCACUGUGGUUUUCUUGUUGUUGUUAUGUCCCUUUUCUCCCCUCCCCCCAAAUAUAAUCCUCAGGAGCUGAGAAGGCUGAGUUUGGUUUAUUUUCAUCUUCUUCAUGUUUCUCUUGCUGCAUGAUUGUCCUGCUGUUUGCCAAUUUUUUUGUCCUCCUUCCUUCCUCUCCGUCGACACAAUGGACGACAACAGCAUCACACUCGCUUAUCGACACUCUGUGGACUAUUAUAAUCAGGAGAGACCUCAAAAAUGGAUUUAGUGGAGCAGCAACAGCAGUAGCCCAGCUCUGUGUACUGCUGGAUAUAGAUUCAGAGCCACAAAGCUUUUCCUCCGACGCUCUGCAGAGCACCGGCAUCACAUGAGAAACCACAUGAUGAACAGGACUGCUCGGCUGAAUUGGUCAACUACUGGGCAAAAUAAAAAAAUAAAAAAAUUCAAACGAUGCUUGCUCCCUCUCUAGUGGCUGAUAAAUAAUUUCCCAUUUUAUUUGCGCCUGGUUUUGAACCUCUAAAGAACAGAGAUGUACAGAGGAUGCUGUUCCACAGACAUUAGCUUGAUGGCAGUCAUAUUACUUGUUAGGUGGCACAACACAGUAAUAUCCAUCAAAGCCAGUUCCUGUAAUGAGUACUGUAUAUACAGUAUGAAUGUAUUCCAGCUGAUCUCUCGUUUAUUUUCUUUUAGAUUUAUUAAAACUUUUUUGCCUUUCUAAAUCUAUGUAGUUAAGGCAUACAGUACUACACUGUGUUUAAAGAGAAGCUAUAUACUAGAGCUGAAUGCAAUUCUUCCUUUCUCCUAACAAAUUGCCUUUUUCUCUAUUUUUUAUUCCUCUUUUUGUCAAUAUGCAUUCUCAAGUGAACACGUCUACUCUUCAAAUUGCAGUUUUGCCCUAACAUAGAAAUGUGCAUGCCAUAGCAAUCCAAGAAUACAGUCUUUAAGCAAUGCAAUUGUUGCCAGAUUUCACUGAGCACAGACUGCCAUAAAGGAAGACUACCAUGCCACACAUGUAAUUUAUUGUGUCUGUGUUACUUGCUUUGAUGAAAAUGUAUGUCAGUUAAGGACAAGGCUCUCAUCUCAUCAGAAGGGUACUUAUAUGCUAUGUAUAAAAAUGAACCCCUUUCACACAGAAAAAAUUGUUAGGUCUAGACAAACAGAAAUUAUACUUAUUAGAUGAUCUCUGCUCCCACUUCAACAGCACAAGCAUAUAAAGUUAAAAAGAUUUUAAAAACACCAUACAUGCAGUACAUACACAAUGUCCCCUUUUCACUUAAAUAGAUCAACUAAAGAUGUACAUACCAAAUGUAUUUACAGUAUUAACAUGUUUCACUUAUAAUACAAAGUUUUAAAAAAUUAAAAUAAUAAAAGAAAAUAACUUUAU
Long non-coding RNA from Acipenser ruthenus (sterlet), 1850 nucleotides. RefSeq lists it as uncharacterized. NCBI's taxonomy places the organism in Eukaryota, Metazoa, Chordata, Actinopteri, Acipenseriformes, Acipenseridae. The transcript is spliced from 2 exons. The record is from RefSeq and is a predicted model, not a curated record.